This 506-nucleotide ribosomal RNA is filed under the name uncultured bacterium. RNAcentral's name for it is "partial 16S ribosomal RNA". It matches the Rfam family "Bacterial small subunit ribosomal RNA", at positions 29 to 523 of the family's 1533-position model. The record is from RNAcentral.
AGUGAACGCUGGCGGUAGGCCUAACACAUGCAAGUCGAACGGCAGCACAGGAGAGCUUGCUCUCUGGGUGGCGAGUGGCGGACGGGUGAGGAAUACAUCGGAAUCUACUUUUUCGUGGGGGAUAACGUAGGGAAACUUACGCUAAUACCGCAUACGACCUACGGGUGAAAGCAGGGGACCUUCGGGCCUUGCGCGAUUGAAUGAGCCGAUGUCGGAUUAGCUAGUUGGCGGGGUAAAGGCCCACCAGGGCGACGAUCCGUAGCUGGUCUGAGAGGAUGAUCAGCCACACUGGAACUGAGACACGGUCCAGACUCCUACGGGAGGCAGCAGUGGGGAAUAUUGGACAAUGGGCGCAAGCCUGAUCCAGCCAUACCGCGUGGGUGAAGAAGGCCUUCGGUUUGUAAAGCCCUUUUGUUGGGAAAGAAAUCCAGCUGGCUAAUACCCGGUUGGGAUGACGGUACCCAAAGAAUAAGCACCGGCUAACUUCGUGCCAGCCGCCGCAGUAA